RNAcentral lists this ribosomal RNA (451 nucleotides) under uncultured bacterium. RNAcentral's name for it is "bacterial SSU rRNA". It matches the Rfam family "Bacterial small subunit ribosomal RNA", at positions 29 to 521 of the family's 1533-position model. The record is from RNAcentral.
AACGAACGCUGGCGGCAGGCUUAACACACGCAAGUCGAACGAUGUAGCAAUACAUAGUGGCGCACGGGUGAGUAACGCGUGGGAAUAUACCUUAUAGUGGGGAAUAACUUUGGGAAACUAAAGCUAAUACCGCAUACGCCCGAGAGGGGAAAGAUUUAUCGCUAUAAGAUUAGCCCGCGUGAGAUUAGGUAGUUGGUGGGGUAAUGGCCUACCAAGCCUACGAUCUCUAGCUGGUCUGAGAGGAUGAUCAGCCACACUGGAACUGAGACACGGUCCAGACUCCUACGGGAGGCAGCAGUGGGGAAUAUUGGACAAUGGGCGAAAGCCUGAUCCAGCAAUGCCGCGUGAGUGAUGAAGGCCUUAGGGUUGUAAAGCUCUUUACCCGGGAGUGAUAAUGACAGUACCGGGAGGAAUAAGACUACCCGGCUAACUCCGUGCCAGCAGCCGCGGU